AAUUUGGCACAAUGGGGGAAACCCUGAUCCAGCAAGGCCGCGUGCAGGAUGAAGGCCUUCGGGUUGUAAACUGCUUUUGGAGGGAACGAAAAGUCUUAGGCUAAUACCCUGGGAGCAUGACGGUACCGUAAGAAUAAGCACCGGCUAACUACGUUCCAGCAGCCGCGGUAAUACGUAGGGUGCAAGCGUUAAUCGGAAUUACUGGGCGUAAAGCGUGCGCAGGCGGUUGUGUAAGACAGUGGUGAAAACCCAGGGCUCAACCUGGGAACUGCGAUUGUGACUGGAAAGCUGGAGUGCGGCAGAGGGGGGUGGAAUUCCGAGUGUAGCAGUGAAAUGCGUAGAUAUGAGGAGGAACACCGAUGGCGAAGGCAGUCCCCUGGGACUGCACUGACGCUCAUGCACGAAAGCGUGGGGAGCAAACAGG
This 424-nucleotide ribosomal RNA is filed under the name uncultured bacterium. Its description in RNAcentral is "partial 16S ribosomal RNA". It matches the Rfam family "Bacterial small subunit ribosomal RNA", at positions 360 to 776 of the family's 1533-position model. The record is from RNAcentral.